UUAUUUCAUCAAUUCUUAUUUCGGGUUGAUUAUCUUGGUUAUUUUCUUUUUUUUCUUCUAAUUGCAAUUUUUCUUUAAAUUUAAUUAUCUCAUUUGCUAAUUUUGUUUUUUGUUCCUUUUCUUUUUGUUUGAUUUCGUACAUUUCUUUUUGUUUAAUUUCGUACAUUUCUUUUAAUAUUGCCAGCUCUUUUUCUAGCUCUAUUAUUUUAGUAUUUUUUACUUUUUCUAAUUGUUGUACUUCCUUUUUUGCUUGUUGUUUUAUUUUUUCAAUUUCCGUUUUUCUAUCUAUUUCUUCAUUUUCUUUUGUUAUUCUUAUCAUAGCAGUUAAACUAUCUUCUAUUUUACCGUUUCUUUAUCUAACAUUAAAUUUAGAUUGUCACCUAUUUUC
Molecule: long non-coding RNA, 388 nt
Filed under: Solanum tuberosum (potato)
Lineage: Eukaryota; Viridiplantae; Streptophyta; Magnoliopsida; Solanales; Solanaceae
Description: long non-coding RNA (STUB_LNC000171)
Source: RNAcentral